GUAAUAGUUAUGUACUUGAAACCCAAAGAAUUUGGCGGUAUUUUAUUCUUUUUAGAGGAACCUGUCCUGUAAUUGAUAGUCCACGAUAGAUAAUUACUUAUUCUUGUAUUCAAUUUGUAUACCUCCGUCAUCAGGAUAUCUUUUUAGAGAUAAUAUCCAAGUAAUAUAAAAUAUAAUAUGUCAGGUCAAGGUGCAAUUUAUGAAUAAGUAGAGAUGGGUUACAAUAAAUUUAUUUAUACGGAUUUAUAUUAAUAUUAGUGUAAUGAAGGAGGAUUUAAAAGUAAAAUUGAUUCUUUAUUAAUUUGACCUUAGCUCUAAAAUAUGCACACAUCGCCCG
This 337-nucleotide ribosomal RNA is filed under the name Libellula saturata (flame skimmer). Its description in RNAcentral is "partial 12S ribosomal RNA". The record is from RNAcentral. Lineage: Eukaryota; Metazoa; Arthropoda; Insecta; Odonata; Libellulidae.